UACGUAGGUGGCGAGCGUUGUCCGGAAUUACUGGGUGUAAAGCGCGUGUAGGUGGCAUGCCAAGUCUGGUGUGAAAUCGCCCGGCUCAACUGGGCGGGGUCGCUGGAAACUGGCAGGCUGGAGGACGGUAGAGGUCGGUGGAAUUCCCGGUGUAGUGGUGAAAUGCGUAGAGAUCGGGAGGAACACCCGUGGCGAAGGCGGCCGACUGGGCCGGUCCUGACACUGAGACGCGAAGGCGUGGGGAGCGAACGGG
This 253-nucleotide ribosomal RNA is filed under the name uncultured bacterium. Its description in RNAcentral is "partial 16S ribosomal RNA". It matches the Rfam family "Bacterial small subunit ribosomal RNA", at positions 524 to 776 of the family's 1533-position model. The record is from RNAcentral.